RNAcentral lists this ribosomal RNA (505 nucleotides) under uncultured bacterium. Its description in RNAcentral is "partial 16S ribosomal RNA". It matches the Rfam family "Bacterial small subunit ribosomal RNA", at positions 28 to 507 of the family's 1533-position model. The record is from RNAcentral.
GACGAACGCUGGCGGCGUGCCUAAUACAUGCAAGUAGAACGCACAGUUUAUACCGUAGCUUGCUACACCAUAGACUGUGAGUUGCGAACGGGUUAGUAACGCGUAGGUAACCUGCCUGGUAGCGGGGGAUAACUAUUGGAAACGAUAGCUAAUACCGCAUAAUAUUAAUUAUUGCAUGAUAAUUAAUUGAAAGGUGCAAUUGCACCACUACCAGAUGGACCUGCGUUGUAUUAGCUAGUAGGUGAGGUAACGGCUCACCUAGGCGACGAUACAUAGCCGACCGUGGAGGGUGAUCGGCCACACUUGGACUGAGACACGGCCCAGACUCCUACGGGAGGCAGCAGUAGGGAAUCUUCGGAAAUGGACGAAAGUCUGACCGAGGAACGCCGCGUGGGUGAAGAAGGUUUUCGGAUCGUAAAGCUCUGUUGUAUGAGAAGAAUGGGUGUGAGAGUGGAAAGUACACACUGUGACGGUAACUUACCAGAAAGGGACGGCUAACUACGUG